ACUUCUGCGCGCGGGAGUUCGAGGCCCUGCGGAGCUGCUUCGCCGCCGCGGUUUAAUCGCCUGCCGCGUGCUUUAGACGCCGGCUGACAAAACCACCGAGCCACCGACGAGCCCGCGAAACCUCGGCCGUCCUGGGCUUGUCCCUGCAUGUUUGUAAAGCGGGACUGGCGCCAACCU
This 177-nucleotide small RNA is filed under the name Pongo abelii (Sumatran orangutan). Its description in RNAcentral is "processed transcript". The record is from RNAcentral. Lineage: Eukaryota; Metazoa; Chordata; Mammalia; Primates; Hominidae.